RNAcentral lists this transfer RNA (72 nucleotides) under Gymnosphaera podophylla. Its description in RNAcentral is "Alsophila podophylla tRNA-Val". It matches the Rfam family "tRNA". From Rfam's summary of the family: Transfer RNA (tRNA) molecules are approximately 80 nucleotides in length. Their secondary structure includes four short double-helical elements and three loops (D, anti-codon, and T loops). The record is from RNAcentral. Lineage: Eukaryota; Viridiplantae; Streptophyta; Polypodiopsida; Cyatheales; Cyatheaceae.
AGGGCUAUAGCUCAGCGGUAGAGCGUCUCGUUUACACCGAGAAUGUCUACGGUUCGAAUCCGUAUAGCCCUA